Molecule: ribosomal RNA, 468 nt
Filed under: uncultured bacterium
Lineage: Bacteria
Description: partial 16S ribosomal RNA
Rfam family: Bacterial small subunit ribosomal RNA
Source: RNAcentral
GACGAACGCUGGCGGCGUGCUUAACACAUGCAAGUCGAACGGCAAGGCCCUGCUUUUGUGGUGUGCUCGAUUGGCGAACGGGUGCGUAACACGUGAUUAACCUUCCCUUGACUUUGGGAUAACUUCAGGAAACUGGGGCUAAUCCCAGCUCGGAGCUCCUGCUGCAUUGUGUGGGUUGGAAAGUUUCGGCGGUUGGGGAUGGACUCGCGGCUUAUCAGCUUGUUGGUGGGGUAGUGGCUUACCAAGGCUUUGACGGGUAGCCGGCCUGAGAGGGUGACCGGCCACAUUGGGACUGUGAUACGGCCCAGACUCCUACGGGAGGCAGCAGUGGGGAAUAUUGCACAAUGGGCGGAAGCCUGAUGCAGAAACGCCGCGUGCGGGAUGACGGCCUGCGGGUUGUAAACCGCUUUCGCCUGUGACGAAGCGGGAGUGACGGUAAUGGGUAAAGAAGCACCGGCUAACUACGUG